This 482-nucleotide ribosomal RNA is filed under the name uncultured bacterium. RNAcentral describes it as "bacterial SSU rRNA". It matches the Rfam family "Bacterial small subunit ribosomal RNA", at positions 38 to 507 of the family's 1533-position model. The record is from RNAcentral.
GACGACGCUGGGCGGCGUGCCUAACACAUGCAAGUCGAGCGGAGUCGAUCGACGGAAGCCUUCGGGCGGAAGAUGGUUGACUUAGCGGCGGAUGGGUGAGUAACGCGUGGGCAACCUGCCUCGAAGACCGGGAUAACAGCCCGAAAGGGCUGCUAAUACCGGAUGUGGUCAAGGAUCCGCAUGGAUUUUGAUUAAAGGGGAAACCCGUUUCGAGAUGGGCCCGCGUCCUAUCAGCUAGUUGGUGAGGUAAAAGCUCACCAAGGCGACGACGGGUAGCCGGCCUGAGAGGGUGACCGGCCACACUGGAACUGAGACACGGUCCAGACUCCUACGGGGGGCAGCAGUGGGGAAUCUUCCACAAUGGGCGAAAGCCUGAUGGAGCGACGCCGCGUGAGCGAAGAAGGCCUUCGGGUUGUAAAGCUCUGUCUGGAGGGACGAAGGAAGUGACGGUACCUCCGGAGGAAGCCACGGCUAACUACGUG